GAUGAACGCUGACAGAAUGCUUAACACAUGCAAGUCAUUGGCGAAGCUGCGCUUUCGCAGGCUAGCCAAGGCGGACGGGUGAGUAACGCGUAAGGAACUUGCCCUGCAGACAUGGAUAACAGACGGAAACGACUGAUAACACCUGGUAAUGUCAGCCUGGCGCAUGCCGGCCUGAUGAAAGGAGACGCUGCAGGAGAGCCUUGCGUCCUACUAGCUAGCUGGUGGGGUAACGGCUCACCUAGGCGAUGAUAGGUAGCCGGCCUGAGAGGGUGAACGGCCACAGGGGGACUGAGAUACGGCCCAUACUCCUACGAGAGGCAGCAGUGGGGAAUAGUGGACAAUGGGGGCAACCCUGAUAGAGCAAUUCUGUGUGCAAGAAGAAGGUUUGCGGAGUGUAAAGUGCUUUCAGCAGAGAAGAAGAAAGUGACGGUACCUGCAGAAGAAGCGACGGCUAAAUACGUG
Molecule: ribosomal RNA, 462 nt
Filed under: uncultured bacterium
Lineage: Bacteria
Description: partial 16S ribosomal RNA
Rfam family: Bacterial small subunit ribosomal RNA
Source: RNAcentral